Molecule: long non-coding RNA, 3689 nt
Organism: Magnolia sinica
Lineage: Eukaryota; Viridiplantae; Streptophyta; Magnoliopsida; Magnoliales; Magnoliaceae
Exons: 3
Source: RefSeq, a predicted model, not a curated record
UCAAAUUACUAACAGGCCUUGGUUAGAUAUACAAUCAAUGGAAUGGGAGUGUCUGAAACAUUACAUCCAAAUCAGCAGUAAGGUAAGAUAGGGUGUUGAUAACAAGCAUGGUAAGGAGGACAGUUUAUUAGUGAUUUUGGGGGGAAAAGGCAAGAGGAAAACUAGCCCCCUUAGCUUGGGUUCCGCUUUUUCUGUCCAUUGCCCAAACAUCAAGCAUAUUAAGCAUGCUUAGAGGCUGCACCAAACCCAAACUCUCCAUUUUUUACUCAUUUUGCUGUUUGAUGUCUGGAUUCUUUUAUCAGGCCUGAGUACUACUGGUUCAGGCACCAAUAUGACAACCUCAUAGGAUGUUUCUAGAUAUGACAUGGAUUUUUAUUUGUUGCCGAUAGCAAGAAAUUCUCGUUUCAAGUAUCCAUUGCUGGAUGGUUGCACCUUGGUCGUCUAUAUUUGAGUUUUUCCAAUUUGGCAGAAAUGUAUUGGCACCUUGCUUGAUCUUUUUAAUUUUUUGUGGCAUGUCGACAAUGAGGUUCUGUCAUGGUUUUUGUUUAGAGCUCUUAUUUGGAGUGUUGAAAGUUGAAGUUGGCAGGGCUUGACAUUUUCUAGGUAUUCUUAUGUUAUCAGGUAUAAGAAAAUCAGCUCUGGAUCUUUGGUUUCAAGUUUAAGCAUUGCCUUCAUGAUGUGGGUGUCUGACAUGAUUGGUGGGUCCCAUUGUGAAUAUGGCAUACUUCAUCUGAUCCAUGGUUUAUUGGAGAGAAGCAAUGGCUUAUAAGAAUGGCAGCUAGAAAUCUAGCCACCUGCAUAAGGGCUGGCAAUGGGCUGAGUUGACUCCUUGAAAAUUUCAGGUUCAACCUUGAACCAUACAGCUCAGUCCUGAUUUUGAGCCCAGUUGUUGAAGGGGUCAUUGGAUCAACCUGGCACCGACUUGAGAAAAGAUCCAAUUUGGGUCAUCAUCAAAAUGGAGUCGACCAGAACCAGAUCCAGUCCCAACCCAGAAGUUAUUUGCUACAAGUGAACCGUCUAUUAUCUCUAAAAAUUGAAUCAGUAAAAAAUUGGGAAAUGGAAAAAAAAAAAAACAAAGUGUAAUUAGUUACUUAGUGGAUCUAUCAUCUAUGUGAUGGUCAGCUAUAUUUUUAAAUAGAUGACAAGAAAGCCUAUGCAGCCAUGUGGCACCGUGACCAUUUCCAAACUUCAUGGCCUGUGCCCGGGACCAAAACCUAGGCGGACCUGGCCUAAACCUGUCUUCUUGAUCCUCUGCAUACUUGAGAUUCAAACCAUUAAAUAAAUGAGUUUUGGUUAUUUUGAUUUUGGAACCAACCAGGACCCAAUCCAAAUUCUAACAGGCUUAUCUCUCAACCCAAAAUACUAACUAGGCAGGUAUUGGCUCCUUUCAACCUGACCCAUUGGAUGGGUGGCCAUCUGCUGAAAUUGAUAUAAUGGCCCAGACAUGGGCCUUGCUAAGAACCUCCCAUGAGCUACUUUCCCAUGUCAGACCUGUGUAGAUAAGAAAGUAGGUCCGAGCCAGUCCAUCUGCUGAUCAAAUACCCAGCUCUGGCUAUGUCUGAUCUAUUUGGAUGUUGAACCCCAGACCCGGCCAAUUGCUCAAAAUCGGCCCAAUGGGGAUGGUGUCUGGUCCAGCAGGCGUAGGCCGGCCCGUUUCGAGAUGUUUUUUGACCGCGUCCACCUGACAGCGAUGAGGACUGAAAUAUCAAAGUUGCGUGCGAUCCACGCCUAUAAACGUGUCAACGAAUUAUUCGUUCCAGAAAAAGUAAGACAGGAACGUACGCGAAAGAAGCGGUUGAUUCCUUCUCACCGCCAUAGCGGAGAAUGCGGACGUGUCGUUACCACGUGGGCUUAUCUGCACCAUCGAUCUUUACCUAACAGGCUCAUCGAAACCGUUGAUUGCCCGUCGAAUUUCAAUAAAUAGGGCUUCCUUCUACUUCAUUUCCAUUAUCUUCCUUAGGUAUUUGCUUCCUUUGCUUAAAAUCUUAGAUCUGUUCGUCUCUGCUCUUCUUUUCUCCUUCAUUUCUUCCUUUUCGUUGAGAUCUCUAGCAGAUCUACGCCCUGAUAGGCGUUUUUCCUCCUGCUUUUGAUUGAUUCCCUCCGAUCUCGUCCUUCCUCCAGAUCUAGCUGCUACUUCUGCAGAUCGAUGGAUUCUUGACGAGAUCUUGGCUGCCUUCUUUGGAAAUCUGAUCUAGAAGGGGCAGAUCGCUCGACGAUAUACGAUUUGGCGGAGGUUUUGUGUCUUAGCUUUUUGCUUUUUCCUUAGUUCUUUGGUUAUUUUGCAGGUUUUUUUUUCCCUUUGUUUCUCAGGCCUACGAUCUAUUUUCCAAGCAUGAAGGAGAUUUCGCCCAUCAAGAUGCCUGGGUCUGACCGCUGGAAGGUGGGUUUCUGCUUCAGAUCCCUCAGAUGUAGAGGCUGUAGCUGUUUUCAUCAGAUGUCUAGUUUUCAAAGUAAUCGUUCAUCUGAUGAUUCUUGCAUGGCUGUAAAUCGACCUAUGUUGGGUUUCUGAUGUUCUUUUACGUGCAAAGAGAAGCAAUCGGUGAUGGAGAGAUGGAGGACGGAUGUUAGGGUUUCGUUGAAGAUGUUAGAGAUGUAGGAGGCUUGGAGGCGCUUAUACGGCCAUGGAUCUAUGUCAUCCGACCUUUGCCAUGACAGGUGCGCUUGCAUGGCAGGUCAAAGAGCCUAAUAAAAAUUAUAUUUUUCGGGUUUAAGGGGGGAUUGCACGGGCUCUCUUGCCCGGAAUCCCCCCCUCUUGCGUCUUCUUUUUCUUUCUUUUUCUUUCUUGUUCUAUCCAUUGCUGCUUCCCAUCAUCCGCAAAGAUAACCCACCAAGCAGACAGAAGACGAGCUCCUUCCAAAUUUCAAUUAUUCCUGAGCAGGCACCGAUCCAAAAAGGAGAUGAGGCUGCUGCUGGAAGUCUGGAGCUCUGGAUCGAAGGUUGCUGCUCGUUACAUAUCAACACAUAUCUACUUGCUAGGUUGUUUACUUUUGAGGAUAUGUCAAGAUGGCUGGAUCAGAGAACCCAUGUAUUUGCUUUUGAGGAUAUGUCAGGAUGGCUGGAUCAGAGAACCCAUGUAUUUGCUAUGGAGAAGAUUGUUAGCUGUAUUACCAUGUUCAGGCCCCUAGUUUGGUUGUAUGCUGUGCUACCAUCUGAAAUGCUAACCACCCAGUCCAAGGAUGUAUUUUGGUGGCAGCAUCACAUCCACCGUCCGAGAUGCUAGCCAUGUCCGAUGAUGUAUUUGGUGGCCACAUCAUGCCGUGUCGUGUUGGGAUGGCUUGUUUGGCGUCUCCCCUUGGUGUAUUCCAAUAUAUUUUUUAAGCUAUUCAUGAGGACCUCCAAGAGUCUGCGUGGAGAGAAGGUUGAUGCUUCUAACACCAGAGGAGGUAUAAAAUCUUGCAUUGUUCUGCACCACUCGUUGCUUCAGAAAAUAAUUUCCGUUUUUUGGGAGGAGGUACUAAAACUUGCUGAUUGGUUCUCCUCCACUCAGUCACUGCAGAAGUAAAUUUUUUUUCUAUUGUUUAUGUUUUAUGUUUAUGUUUUUCCCCUUUCUACCAUCAUUUGAUUAAUAUAUACAGUAAUUUUAGUAGCUAGAUUUACCAAGUAAUGUUAGGUACUACUUACUAUUUGAACAACAUAGUGUAAUGAUCAUCUUCCAUCAGUUCAUUUUUAUUUCUGAAUCUAGCUGAUCA